UGCACUGUAUGGUAUCUGCACCCAGCAGUGUCUUCCUGAUGGGCUGUUCAAAAAGCAGUGCUACAGUAUUUCAGCAGCUGGCAUCGUUGGUUUUCAUGCAGAUGUGCUGGUUAAACUUGGUAUUUCUGUUGAAACAAGU
Small nucleolar RNA from Accipiter nisus (Eurasian sparrowhawk), 139 nucleotides. NCBI's taxonomy places the organism in Eukaryota, Metazoa, Chordata, Aves, Accipitriformes, Accipitridae. The record is from Ensembl.